CGCAGCUUCAUUAACAUUCUCUCUUCCUCGUGCGGCUGAUGGCGGUCGGCCGUGCGGCGGCGGCGGGAGAGAAUCCGGCCUGUUUUUAGGCUCGUUUAUGGGUUAAAGAACCAGAAAUAAGAACACUUUGAUAAGGUGAUGGAUGCUCUGCGGGAUUGUUGUGGCAGAGGUCAUUGUUGAUACUCAAAAUUUUUCAAAUGUUUGUUUUUCAUGUGGAAAGACUGACUUCCAAUUGAGAUGCACUGAGCUGUUUCCAUUAAGUUACGUCGGUGAAAUUAAAUAAAAUUUUACAAACG
Long non-coding RNA from Salarias fasciatus (jewelled blenny), 296 nucleotides. RefSeq lists it as uncharacterized. The record is from RefSeq and is a predicted model, not a curated record. Lineage: Eukaryota; Metazoa; Chordata; Actinopteri; Blenniiformes; Blenniidae. The transcript is spliced from 3 exons.